GCCCCGGUAAACGGCGGCCGUAACUAUAACGGUCCUAAGGUAGCGAAAUUCCUUGUCGGGUAAGUUCCGACCUGCACGAAUGGCGUAAUGAUGGCCAGGCUGUCUCCACCCGAGACUCAGUGAAAUUGAACUCGCUGUGAAGAUGCAGUGUACCCGCGGCAAGACGGAAAGACCCCGUGAACCUUUACUAUAGCUUGACACUGAACACUGGUCCUUGAUGUGUAGGAUAGGUGGGAGGCUUUGAAGCGUGGACGCCAGUCUGCGUGGAGCCGUCCUUGAAAUACCACCCUUUAAUGGCUGGUGUUCUAACGUAGACCCGUAAUCCGGGUUGCGGACAGUGUCUGGUGGGUAGUUUGACUGGGGCGGUCUCCUCCCAAAGAGUAACGGAGGAGCACGAAGGUUAGCUAAUCCUGGUCGGACAUCAGGAGGUUAGUGCAAUGGCAUAAGCUAGCUU
Molecule: ribosomal RNA, 454 nt
Filed under: Enterobacter cloacae
Lineage: Bacteria; Pseudomonadati; Pseudomonadota; Gammaproteobacteria; Enterobacterales; Enterobacteriaceae
Description: partial 23S ribosomal RNA
Rfam family: Bacterial large subunit ribosomal RNA
Source: RNAcentral